RNAcentral lists this long non-coding RNA (2559 nucleotides) under Homo sapiens (human). RNAcentral describes it as "HSALNT0364836". The record is from RNAcentral. Lineage: Eukaryota; Metazoa; Chordata; Mammalia; Primates; Hominidae.
UGCACUGGGAGAACGGGGUGGGGCCUCCAGAAGUUCACGCCAUUUGCAGCGGGGAGGAGCCUGUUCCUGUGUGGCGACCUGGGCUUCAAUCUGUGAGGCGGGAAACCUGCUAGCAGGACUCUUGCUUUGUGGUCUCCUGUGAGAAGAACAUACCCCAGGUAGCCUCUUCUUUGAGAAGCACAAGGAAACACGUGGUGGUGGAACUGAACACAACCCACAGCCUGGAGCUAAACCCAACCUAAGCCAGCCAAGCUCUUCCAAGAUCACCCAAACUCAAGUUGACCUGUAGAUCCAUGGGCAAGGAAAGAAAUGCCUGCUGUUUUAAGAUCUCAAGUUUUAGGUUGAUUUGUUAUGCAGCAUUAUUGCAGUAAAAAUGAACUAAUACACUACCUAAUCCCAUUUUUCUAUUCAACAGUUAUUUGUUGGGUAGCUGAUAUGUGCCACACACUUAUAAUACAGGCUUCAGGGAUACCAUGGUUAAUAAAAUAAAGAGGGCAAAAGUAAAUGAACAAGAUAAUUUUGCAUUUUGACAAAUGCUAGGGAUAAGACAAGAUGAGUGAUGUGAUAAAUUGUGGUGGGGCUGUGGAAGAGGGCACAUUUAAUUUGGAUGGUCAGAGAGAGCCUCCUCUGGAAGGAAACAUUUGAAUGAGAUGAAUAACAAGGGCGAGGCUGCUAGAGGAUGAUCCAGCCACAGUGCAUUCCUGCAGAAGAGCCAGGGUGGAGGUCCUACGGUGGAAAUGAGUUUGGCUUAGGAACAGAUUCAAGUAUAUCUCAAAUAACUGAAAACUGUGAAAUUAACAUCAAAAGUAUUUGGAAGGCUAGAAGCUAGGCUGAUAUGUAGAAAUAAAACCCAGCCUCAGGAAGGAGCUGAGCCAGACUCAAAAACAAGGGGGGCAGCAAAGAGUGGUGGAUUCUGGGCUGGCCUUGCUGGCCACUCACUUGUCAGGGUGGGGUGGGUCAGCUGGCUUAAAUGUGCAGCUGGACAGACAGCUGCUGUUUCACUGCAUUGUCUCACUGCAUCUGUCUUCAUUAUCUGCAUCCUAUUUUGUGUUUCUUGGGCCAAUGUUUCCCAUCUCAGCUAGAGAUAUUUUACAUUGUUUUCACUGCAUGCAAAUAAUUUCACAAUUUUCUGUGGAAAGCCUUUGCUCCCUCCUUUCUUGUUUUUUUCCAAUUAUUUUAAUAGAAGUCGUGUGCAUACAUGGUUUAAAGAGUCAAAGAACUCUGUAAGGUUUAUUUUAAAAAACAGCCACUGUUAUGAGCAACACCCCCCUGCUGACAUUUCCCCAUUCCAGAGGCACUUUCAUCUUUUUUACAUGAUUGACAUUUCACCUUCCUGUCUCUAAAUAACAUACUUAAUACUACUUCUUGAUUUGCUAUUUUUAGGUAUUUUGUAUUGAUUUCCCUCAAUUGACUAGGAGGACUUAGCUUUCUUCCUUCUUGCUUCUUUUAUCAAACACCUUUCUAUUCUAUGCUAUCACCGUUCCCUCUUGGUAUAAUGUUAUGAUAAUUUUGCUGAGCUUAAUGUUUCAUUUGUAUUAUUAUGAUCACAUAAAUGCUUUUAAUAGCCAAACCAGAUGGUAAGAUGUAAUGAUAUUUCCUUUCUGUAGUAGGUGGCUUCUAAUAUGGUCCCCAGUGAUCUCUGAUGACUAGUAUUCAAGGCCUUGUGUAUUCCCCUCUCCUUGAGUGUGGACUGGGCUUAUUGACUUGCUUCUAACAAUUAGAAUACAGCGAAAACAAUGGAUGUCACUUCUAAGAUGGGGCUUCAUAAAGACCAGCUAUCAUUUUGGGCACUAUCUUUGGUUUGCUCACUCUUAGUGUGGUAGGUAGAGUUCUAAAGACAUCCCCCCAAAUUCUUACUCCUGGUUAUUCAGUCGAACACUAAUCUCAGUACUGCUAUGAAGGGAUUUUACAGAUGGAACUAAGGUUGUUCAUCAGCUGACCUUGAAAUGGAGGGAUUAUCUUGGAUCAUCCAGAUAGGCCCAAUGUAAUCACAUAUAUCCUUAGAAGCAGAAGAGCAAGGCAGGAGAAUAAGUCAGAAGAAGAAGGCAGGAGCAGGAGACAAGAGGCAGAAAGAGAGGUCAAAGAGAUCAGAAGUGUGAGAAAGCCUCAUUGGCUCAUUGGCUUUGCAGAUGAAGGGGGUUACCAGCCAGGGAAUGUGGGUGACUUCAGAAGCUGGACCCUGGUCAACAGCCAGCACGGACAUGAGGACCUCAGUCUUACAGCCAUGUGGAACUGAAAUCUACCAACCACCUGAAUGAGGCUGGAAGUGGAUUCUCCCCCGGAGCCUCCAGAUCAGAGCCCAGCCUGGCUGACAUUGAUUUCAGCCUUGUGAGAUUCAGAGCAGAGCCUCUGAGCUUACCUGGACUUCUGACCUAUGGAGCUGUGAGAUCAUAAGGGAGUGUUCUUUUAAGCUGCCAAAUUUUGGGGAAUCUGUUAUAGCAUCAGUAGAAAGCAAACACAUGUGGGAAGCCAGCUGUCAAGUUAUGAGCAUACAAAGGAAAUUGGGGAAGUGAUAACGUCAAGCAUUCAUCAUGAUAAGGCUUAUGUUAUUGAAUAAAA